AGUGAACGCUGGCGGUAGGCCUAACACAUGCAAGUCGAACGGCAGCACAGUAAGAGCUUGCUCUUACGGGUGGCGAGUGGCGGACGGGUGAGGAAUACAUCGGAAUCUACUUUUUCGUGGGGGAUAACGUAGGGAAACUUACGCUAAUACCGCAUACGACCUACGGGUGAAAGCAGGGGAUCUUCGGACCUUGCGCGAUUGAAUUAGCCGAUGUCGGAUUAGCUAGUUGGCGGGGUAAAGGCCCACCAAGGCGACGAUCCGUAGCUGGUCUGAGAGGAUGAUCAGCCACACUGGAACUGAGACACGGUCCAGACUCCUACGGGAGGCAGCAGUGGGGAAUAUUGGACAAUGGGCGCAAGCCUGAUCCAGCAAUACCGCGUGGGUGAAGAAGGACUUCGGGUUGUAAAGCCCUUUUGUUGGGAAAGAAAAGCAGCAGGUUAAUACCCCGCUGUUAUGACGGUACCCAAAGAAUAAGCACCGGCUAACUUCGUG
This 492-nucleotide ribosomal RNA is filed under the name uncultured bacterium. RNAcentral describes it as "partial 16S ribosomal RNA". It matches the Rfam family "Bacterial small subunit ribosomal RNA", at positions 29 to 507 of the family's 1533-position model. The record is from RNAcentral.